This 582-nucleotide ribosomal RNA is filed under the name Hippopodius hippopus. RNAcentral describes it as "partial large subunit ribosomal RNA". Lineage: Eukaryota; Metazoa; Cnidaria; Hydrozoa; Siphonophorae; Hippopodiidae. The record is from RNAcentral.
AAAAACAUAGCUAAAUUUAUCAAGUUAUUUAGUGAAAAUCUGCACAAUGAGUACUUAUUUUACUUAUUUAUAUAAAUAUUAAUUUGUAAAAUUUACUUAAAUUGAAUAUUUAAUUAUUUAAAGUAGCAUAAUCAUUUGUUAUUUAAUUGGUAUCUUGUAUGAAUGUUUUUAUAUAGAAUUAUUUUAUUAACUAUAUGAUUAAUGAAAUUAAUAUGAUAGUAAAAAAGCUAUCUAAAUAAAUAAGACGAAAAGACCCUAUAAAGCUUAAUAGAAAAUAUAUUAUUUAUUGAUUUAUUUAUAUUUAUUUGGGGAAAAUGUUUUUUAUUAAAAAUAAAAAUUACUUUAUUAAUUUGUAUAAAAUUUUAUUAAAAUUCUCUUAUUUGAAAUUACUACUUAUAAAUAUUAAUUAAAGAUUUAUUUAUAAUUAAAAAAUAAAAGUUACUUUAGGGAUAACAGAUUAAUAUAAAUUUUAUAGAUCAUAUAUAAAUUUAUGUUUAAUACCUCGAUGUUGAAUUAAAUUAAUUGUUAUUUGUAGGUAAAUAAUAAAUAAUAUUGUUCAUAUUUUGAAAAUUUACAUGAUUU